Molecule: ribosomal RNA, 254 nt
Filed under: uncultured bacterium
Lineage: Bacteria
Description: partial 16S ribosomal RNA
Rfam family: Bacterial small subunit ribosomal RNA
Source: RNAcentral
UACGUAGGGACCAAGCGUUGUUCGGAUUUACUGGGCGUAAAGGGCGCGUAGGCGGUCAGCACAAGUCAGUUGUGAAAUCUCCGGGCUUAACUCGGAAAGGUCAACUGAUACUGUGCGACUAGAGUGCAGAAGGGGCAACUGGAAUUCUCGGUGUAGCGGUGAAAUGCGUAGAUAUCGAGAGGAACACCUGCGGCGAAGGCGGGUUGCUGGGCUGACACUGACGCUGAUGCGCGAAAGCGUGGGGAGCAAACAGG